RNAcentral lists this ribosomal RNA (354 nucleotides) under Metarthrodes laetabundus. RNAcentral's name for it is "partial large subunit ribosomal RNA". Lineage: Eukaryota; Metazoa; Arthropoda; Arachnida; Opiliones; Gonyleptidae. The record is from RNAcentral.
UCAGAUCACGUAAAAUUUUAAUAGUCGAACAGACUAACCCCCUCUAGCUUCUUCACCAAAAUAAAAAUUAAUUCAACAUCGAGGUCACAAACUUCAAUUAUUAAUAAGAACUUGCUAAUUAAAUAAUGCUGUUAUCCCUAGAGUAACUUAAUUCUUUAUCCUUCUCAUCUUUCAAAAAUUUUUAUCUUCAAAUGUUGCCCCAACAAAAAAUUACUCCUUCAGCAUUUUAAGCUUCUAGGGUCUUCUCGUCCCAAAGUUUUAUAAAAGCAUUUUUACUUUUAAUUUAAAUUCAAAAUAAUCAAAUAAAACCUUCUCUUCAGUUUUAACCUUUCAUUCCAGUCUCCAAUUAAAAGA